GACGAAAACCUGUACGGAAAGCGCUCGUGAACUUCUAUCCCAUAGUUUUCAUUCGAAAGAGCGAGGCCCGCACCCUGGAAGCUUCCAAUAACGAGCAGACACACCCCGGUGCAGCCCUCAGUUUGCGUCAGUGCUAACCUACGAGACAGAACAGUACAAAUGUGUAAGAUAUAAAGCAAAGUCGGGGAAUGUGAUCAAUAGUGAUCUGGAAACGGUUCAAUUAAAUCGGCGACACCCUGGGCGAAACGCUCAAGUCCGGAAGGCAGGCGUCGGUCGCAGCCGGAAAGGCAUGCGGGAUUGCCAAACUGCGUGGGAAUCACGUCGUGAAAUUUAAUAUAAACACUGUAAAUAUCACUCAGAAAGUAAGACGAGCCUGUGGAUGCGACUCGAAACCUACCACAGUCAGCAGGAUAAUGCGAAGGCCCAUUAGUGGCCUUUGUUCGGCGUCAGCGAGUCUGUGUACUCACCUACUUGCAAGACGUUAUCGACACAACCGGCCUCGUAGAGCUUCAAACCUCGGUAAAAUGGAAGCUUUUGGUAAUCACCACAAUUGUUUGAGUCACUUGAUAACGAAGAGUACAUGCAAAUAUCCCUUUCAUUCCUCGGGAACGACCAAUAAAUAAUCCUCCGUUGCACUGG
Molecule: long non-coding RNA, 639 nt
Organism: Ornithodoros turicata
Lineage: Eukaryota; Metazoa; Arthropoda; Arachnida; Ixodida; Argasidae
Exons: 2
Source: RefSeq, a predicted model, not a curated record